RNAcentral lists this ribosomal RNA (574 nucleotides) under uncultured cyanobacterium. RNAcentral's name for it is "partial 16S ribosomal RNA". It matches the Rfam family "Bacterial small subunit ribosomal RNA", at positions 124 to 732 of the family's 1533-position model. The record is from RNAcentral. Lineage: Bacteria; Bacillati; Cyanobacteriota.
AUCUGCCCUUAGGAUGGGGACAACAGUUGGAAACGACUGCUAAUACCCCAUGUGCCGAGGGGUGAAAGAUUUAUUGCCCGCGGAAGAGCUCUCGUCUGAUUAGCUAGUUGGGGGGGUAAAGGCCUCCCCGGCGCCAAUCACUAUCUGGUCUGAGAGGAGGAUCACCCCCACUGGGACUGAGACACGGCCCACACUCCUACAGGGGGCGCCACUGGGGAAAUUUCCCCACUGGGCGCAAGCCCGACAGAGCACCACCCCGUGUGGGAGGAAAGCGCCUGGGUUGUGAACCCCUUUUUUCUCGGAAAAAAAUCUGAGGGGGCUUUUGGAAAAAACAUCUGCUAAAUCUGUGCCCCCACCCCCGGUAAAACACAGAAUACGCGCGUUUUCCCGAAAUUUUGGGCGCAAAACGCCCCUGUGUGGGGCUUUAAAUCUGCUUUUAAAAAUCGCAGGUCAACUCCCUGUACGGGAUGGGAACACUACAACUCUAGUUUGCUGUGGGCACAGAGAAAUUCCCGUGUGGCGCUGAAAUGCGUAUAUAUCUGGAAAAACACCCCUGGCGAAAGCGCUCUGUUGU